This 254-nucleotide ribosomal RNA is filed under the name uncultured bacterium. RNAcentral describes it as "partial 16S ribosomal RNA". It matches the Rfam family "Bacterial small subunit ribosomal RNA", at positions 524 to 776 of the family's 1533-position model. The record is from RNAcentral.
UACGUAGGGGGCGAGCGUUGUCCGGAUUCAUUGGGCGUAAAGAGCUCGUAGGCGGCUUGGCAAGUCGGAUGUGAAAACUCCAGGCUCAACCUGGAGCCGCCAUUCGAUACUGCUAUGGCUAGAGUCCGGUAGGGGAGUGUGGAAUUCCCGGUGUAGCGGUGAAAUGCGCAGAUAUCGGGAGGAACACCGAUGGCGAAGGCAGCACUCUGGGCCGGUGCUGACGCUGAGACGCGAAAGCGUGGGGAGCAAACAGG